Molecule: non-coding RNA, 71 nt
Filed under: Thermodesulfovibrio sp.
Lineage: Bacteria; Pseudomonadati; Nitrospirota; Thermodesulfovibrionia; Thermodesulfovibrionales; Thermodesulfovibrionaceae
Description: Fluoride sequence
Rfam family: Fluoride riboswitch aptamer (crcB RNA motif)
Source: RNAcentral
CUUAAUAUGAGCGAUGGGGUUCGCUGUUAACCGUCCUUGAUUGUUUAAGGAAUGAUAACCCCUACUGAACC